UUUUUGAAUAUCUACGUUAUUGAUUAUGAUAGCAUUCACUUGCUGUGUGUGUGUUCUUCUUUUGAUUCGAUGUCAUGCAGAUGAAUGUAGUUACCCAUACAGACGAGUUGGUAAAGGAUGCUAUCUUAUACAAAAAGAAAAAACUUCUGGUGAUGAUGCGUUUGUGUGCAUUAUUACUUUGGCGGACGCAACAUCAAUAGAUAUAAGCCCGGUGGUGAUUGGAGAUGGAUUAAAAAGGACGGAGAUAUGAUUAAGAUGACCUACUUUGCCUUUGAUAACGGGGAACCAAAUGGAUCACUAAGUGCGUCGGAAGAUUGUAUGAUGUUCCAUGCUUCAAGGAGAUACCGGGUCCAUA
Mytilus trossulus (common blue mussel) is the source of this 355-nucleotide long non-coding RNA. RefSeq lists it as uncharacterized. The transcript is spliced from 3 exons. NCBI's taxonomy places the organism in Eukaryota, Metazoa, Mollusca, Bivalvia, Mytilida, Mytilidae. The record is from RefSeq and is a predicted model, not a curated record.